CCUUGAUCAGUAACAUAGUAAAUGACACAUGUGAUUCUGUACUUACAAGGAAGUAGAAAAUAGCAAAUAAAAAUCAUGACUUGGCUCAGAGGGUUGCUAUUGCCUCCGAAGGCGGUAGCCCCCUGAUCUCCACUCUAUUUUUUUUGUCUCCUUUCUUAAAUCUGCGGCACUGCUGACCUUGAGACCUGAGUUGACAAGCAGGUCUCAUCAAGUGGCGCUGAACAGGGACCUGAAGCAGUUCACAGUCUACAAGACUAAUGGACAGGUGCUGACAGACGCGGGGAAUUCUGGCUGAAAAAGCGACAGACUGGAAAGUAACAAGAGAUGAAGAAACCAAAAGAAUAAUCAGGAAAUUGAAUGUAGAACAAUUAAUGCUCAACGAAAAGUGGCUUUUUGUAGUUGUUACUAUCAAAGGGUUCCCUUCAAGAUUACCUCACAGAUUUUCCAGGAGGUGAAGAUGAAGACAAGGAGACUGAACAAUGGAUGUGUGUGUGUAACUGUCCCCUGACUCACAAAAGUGCAAUGGAAAGCAAACAAGUGAAGUGAAAGAAUGCAAAGAGGGAGAUGGAACAAAAGCUUGCAGAGAAGUGCCAGUUAACAACUGACUAUAAGAGAAGAAUAAUCUUCUGAGUAAAUACAGAGAAAGAGAGAAAGAGAAGGGGCAGGGAUUUGUAUUGAAGAAGCUUGCUCUGUACUUUGAAACAAACUGAAAGAGAAAAAAUAGUAUUAUUUAUUUAAAAUCACUCCCUGACUUGAAUCAAUUCAGGAUACAAAAUAGUUUGCCUCCCUACUGAUUAUAUCAAUUUUUAAAUUGCAUUUAUUGCUAUUUUUCUUUUAUCUAGAGAUACGUAUUGAGUGUCUGUUAUAUGCCAGAAACUAUUCUCAGGAGAGCAUUGAACAAAACAGAAAAACUCUGCACUCACACAGCUUAAAUUCUAGCUGACAAUAGCUAAACAAACAAGCAAACAUGAUGUCAUAUAGUAUAAGUGCUAUGAAGAAAAAUCAGGUUAGGUACAUGGAAAGUUUUUACUUUCAUAGGGGUAGACAGGGAAACUGACUUACCCCAAGAUUAAUACACACUAAUGGUAGAUUUUUUUUUAACAAUAAAGAUUAACAAAAUGAAAAGCUGAAGUACUUU
This 1138-nucleotide long non-coding RNA is filed under the name Sus scrofa (pig). RNAcentral describes it as "lncRNA (ENSSSCG00070025214.1)". Lineage: Eukaryota; Metazoa; Chordata; Mammalia; Artiodactyla; Suidae. The record is from RNAcentral.